This 220-nucleotide long non-coding RNA is filed under the name Elaeis guineensis (African oil palm). RNAcentral's name for it is "long non-coding RNA (EGUI_LNC069432)". The record is from RNAcentral. Lineage: Eukaryota; Viridiplantae; Streptophyta; Magnoliopsida; Arecales; Arecaceae.
AUCAGAAGUCCAAACAUAUAGAAUGACGAUUUUACAUUAUACACAACUAUCUCAAGAAGAAGUAUAUCGAGAUGUAGAAAAUAGACUUCAUAGAUAAUAUGUCAUAUCCACUAACUAAGCCGUUUAGCCAGCAGAAGACUAAAGCCCAUCUUAAGAAGAUGGAGCUUAGGUAAAUGGCUGAUUGACUUUAGUGCAAGUAGAAGAUUAUUAAAUGUAUGUA